This 515-nucleotide ribosomal RNA is filed under the name uncultured bacterium. Its description in RNAcentral is "partial 16S ribosomal RNA". It matches the Rfam family "Bacterial small subunit ribosomal RNA", at positions 29 to 523 of the family's 1533-position model. The record is from RNAcentral.
AACGAACGCUGGCGGCGUGCUUAAUACAUGCAAGUCGAACGAGAAAGUCCUUCGGGAUGAGUAGAGUGGCGCACGGGUGAGUAACGCGUAGGUGACCUACCUUUUAGUGGGGGAUAACUUCGGGAAACCGGAGCUAAUACCGCAUAAGAAGAGUGGAUUGAAAGAAGCUUUUGAAAGAUGGCCACUCCAUGGAAGCUAUCGUUAAAAGAAGGGCCUGCGUACCAUUAGCUAGUUGGUAGGGUAAAGGCCUACCAAGGCGAUGAUGGUUAGCCGGUCUGAGAGGAGGAUCGGCCACACGGGGACUGGGACACGGCCCAGACUCCUACGGGAGGCAGCAGUAGGGAAUAUUGCGCAAUGGGCGAAAGCCUGACGCAGCAACGCCGUGUGAGGGAGGAAGGCCUUAGGGUUGUAAACCUCUGUCGGAAGGGACAAAAAGCGAGCGAGUUAAUACCUUGCUUGAAUGAUGGUACCUUCGGAGGAAGCACCGGCAAACUUCGUGCCAGCCGCCGCCGUAA